AUUGAACGCUGGCGGCAGGCCUAACACAUGCAAGUCGAGCGGAUGAAGGGAGCUUGCUCCUGGAUUCAGCGGCGGACGGGUGAGUAAUGCCUAGGAAUCUGCCUGGUAGUGGGGGAUAACGUCCGGAAACGGGCGCUAAUACCGCAUACGUCCUGAGGGAGAAAGUGGGGGAUCUUCGGACCUCACGCUAUCAGAUGAGCCUAGGUCGGAUUAGCUAGUUGGUGGGGUAAAGGCCUACCAAGGCGACGAUCCGUAACUGGUCUGAGAGGAUGAUCAGUCACACUGGAACUCAGACACGGUCCAGACUCCUACGGGAGGCAGCAGUGGGGAAUAUUGGACAAUGGGCGAAAGCCUGAUCCAGCCAUGCCGCGUGUGUGAAGAAGGUCUUCGGAUUGUAAAGCACUUUAAGUUGGGAGGAAGGGCAGUAAGUUAAUACCUUGCUGUUUUGACGUUACCAACAGAAUAAGCACCGGCUAACUUCGUG
This 484-nucleotide ribosomal RNA is filed under the name uncultured bacterium. Its description in RNAcentral is "partial 16S ribosomal RNA". It matches the Rfam family "Bacterial small subunit ribosomal RNA", at positions 30 to 507 of the family's 1533-position model. The record is from RNAcentral.